UGGUCACUGCGGGGAGAAAGGUGCACCUGUUAGCGCCGCCGCCGCCGCCGCCGCCCGGCCCGCGCCCCCGCCCGCGCCCAUACUCCCGCGCCGCACUUGACGAAGAAGACGCGGCCGUCCCGGCACACGCCGUAAGACCAGUGCUCAGGCACUGGCUUAGUUCUCGCAAGACAGCGAGCCUGACUCCUCCCCGGUCUCUUGGUCCCCCUCCAGCCAUGUGAUGCCAUUUGCCAUGCUGUGAUGCAAGCAGGGAGCCCCCACCAGAUGCCACCCCGAAUGGACUUUCCAGCCACCAGAAUUAUAACGGCCCAGAGCCACUUCCUCCGAGAAGCCUUCUCUGCUCCAUUGGACAAGACUCCAGUGCGGCCCGCCUUCCAUUUGCACGGUGGUUACCUGGUGGCUCUUCCUCUCCCCCAGAACCCUGCAGGCUCCCGUCUGCUUUGCUCACUGUUGUAUCCCAAAGCCUACAAUAGCACCUGACACAUGACAGUA
This is a long non-coding RNA of Oryctolagus cuniculus (rabbit), 492 nucleotides long. RefSeq lists it as uncharacterized. The record is from RefSeq and is a predicted model, not a curated record. NCBI's taxonomy places the organism in Eukaryota, Metazoa, Chordata, Mammalia, Lagomorpha, Leporidae.